GUUCAAACGAGGAAGGGCUUAUGGUGGAUACCUAGGCACCCAGAGACGAGGAAGGGUGUGGUAAGAGACGACAUGCUUUGGGGAGUUGAAACUGAGCAUAGAUGUGGAGAUUCUCGAAUAGGGUAACCUUUUUAACUGCUUCUUAAUCCAUGGGUAGGCAAGAGACAACCUGGAAAACUGAAACAUCUUAGUAGCUAGAGGAAUAGAAAGAAAAAGUGAUUCCUGUAGUAGCAGCGAGAGAAAUGGGAGCAGCCUAAACCUUGAAAAUGGGGUUUUGGAAGAGAACAAUAUAAGCUUUGUGAUGCUAGGCGAAGCGAUUGAGUCCUGCACCCUAUAUGGUGAGAGUUAAGUAGCCAAAAGAAUCAUUGAGUUAUGCUCUAAUCUGAGUAGCAUGGGGCAUGCAGAAUCCCAUGUGAAUCAACAAGGACCACAUUGCAAGGCUAAAUACUCCUGCGUGAUCGAUAGCGAAGUAGUACCGUGAGGGGAAGGUGAAAAGAACCCCCAUUGGGGAGUGAAAUAGAACAUGAAACCGUAAGCUCCCAAGUAGUGGAAGGAAAAUGAUAUCUCUGGCCAUGUGCAUGUUGAAGAAUGAGCCGACAACUAAUAGGCAGUGGCUUGGUUAAGGGAAUCCAGUGGAUCCGUAGUGAGAGCGAGUCUUCAUGGGGCAAUUGUCACUGCUUAUGGACCCAAACCUAGGUGAUCUAUCCAUGACCAGGAUGAAUCUUUGGUGAAACUAAGUGGAGGUCCGACCCGACUGAUGUUGAAAAAUCAAUGGAUGAGUCGUGGUUAGGGGUGAAAUGCCACUCGAACCCAGAGCUAGUUGGAUCUCCCAAAAAUGCAUUGAGGCGCAACAGUUGACUGGACCAUCUAGAGGUAAAUCAUUGUUUUGGUACUGGCCAUGAGAGAAGUACCAAAUCAAGGAAAACUUUGAAUACUAGAUUGCCCCAAUAAAAGGGGUAAAGGUUAGCCAGUGAGACGAUGGGGGAUAAGGUUCAUCAUUGAGAGGGAAACAACCAGAUCAUCAGCUAAGGCCCCUAAAUGACCAGUCAAUGAUGAAGGAAGUACGAGUGCAAAGACAACGAGGAGAUUUUCCUAGAAGCAACCAACCUUGAAAGAGUGCGUAAUAGAUCAUUGAUCAAGUGCUCUUGGGCCAAAUAUGAAUGGGACUAAGCAAUCUGUCGAAGCUGUGGGAUGUAAAAAUACAUCAGUAGGGGAGCAUUCCGCCUCAGAGGGAAGCAUUGGUGCAAGCAGGUGUGGACAAAGUGGAAGCGAGAAUGCCAACUUGAGUAACGCCAACAUUGGUGAGAAUCCAAUGCCCUGAAAACCUAAGGUUUCCUCUGCAAGGUUCAUCCACGAAGGGUGAGUCGGGGCUUAAGAUCAGGUCAAAAGGCAUAGUCAAUGGAUAACAGGUAAAUAUUCCUGUACUACCUCUUGUUGGUCCCGAGGGAAGAAGAAGGGUAGGUUAGCCGAAAUAUGGUUAUCGGUUCAAGGACGCAAGGUGACCCUCUAUACAUUGAUUCAAAGGUAAAACAAGAAUCAAAUAUCGGUGUGUACAA
Picea glauca (white spruce) is the source of this 1556-nucleotide non-coding RNA. NCBI's taxonomy places the organism in Eukaryota, Viridiplantae, Streptophyta, Pinopsida, Pinales, Pinaceae. The record is from Rfam.